Non-coding RNA from Podarcis lilfordi (Lilford's wall lizard), 66 nucleotides. Lineage: Eukaryota; Metazoa; Chordata; Lepidosauria; Squamata; Lacertidae. The record is from the annotation of a GenBank genome assembly.
GUAGCUCAUUGGUAGAGCAUCUGUUUUGGAUGCAGAAGGUCCUAGGUUCAAUCCCUGGAAACUCCA